UACGGAGGGUGCAAGCGUUAUCCGGAUUCACUGGGUUUAAAGGGUGCGUAGGCGGGCAGGUAAGUCAGUGGUGAAAUCCCCGAGCUUAACUCGGGAACUGCCAUUGAUACUAUCUGUCUUGAAUAUUGUGGAGGUAAGCGGAAUAUGUCAUGUAGCGGUGAAAUGCUUAGAUAUGACAUAGAACACCUAUUGCGAAGGCAGCUCACUACACAAAGAUUGACACUGAGGCACGAAAGCGUGGGGAUCAAACAGG
Molecule: ribosomal RNA, 253 nt
Filed under: uncultured bacterium
Lineage: Bacteria
Description: partial 16S ribosomal RNA
Rfam family: Bacterial small subunit ribosomal RNA
Source: RNAcentral